UAGCUAACUGAAUCAAUGGUGUGUCAUCAUUGAUAAAGUAAGGGAAAAGAAAUGAUAUUACCUUACUAUUAGUGUCGUCCAAAUACUCGUGCCAGAAGACUCGGUAAGGCGAGAGACGCAAACGUUAGUCGUCCUAAUCAGGCGUAAAGGGUUUGUAGGCGGCUUUAAGUAUUUAUUCACUCUACUUAAAUCUUAUUUAGUAUAAGAUAAAAAGUUAAGGAGUAAGUCAAUUAAAGCUAGAAUCAAGUAGAGGUUAAUUUAAAUAAUGUUUGAACAUAGGGUUGAUAUCUAUAGAAUUCAAAUGGAAUACUAACGGCGAAGGCUUUUUUCCAAUAAUGAUUGACGCUGAGAAACUAAGGUGAGGAAAGAAAAAAGGAUUAGAGACCCUCGUAUCCCUCACUGUCAACGAUGAAUGGUAGUUACUAGAAAUAUUAUUCUAGAGACGAUGUUAACACGAAAACCAUUCCGCCUUGUGAGUACGGCUGCAAAGUUGAAAACAAAAAAAUUAGUCGGUUUCGGAGCAAACGGAGUGAAGCAUGUUAUUUAAUAAA
RNAcentral lists this ribosomal RNA (551 nucleotides) under Lyomyces microfasciculatus. Its description in RNAcentral is "SSU rRNA". It matches the Rfam family "Bacterial small subunit ribosomal RNA", at positions 404 to 953 of the family's 1533-position model. Lineage: Eukaryota; Fungi; Basidiomycota; Agaricomycetes; Hymenochaetales; Schizoporaceae. The record is from RNAcentral.